Molecule: ribosomal RNA, 404 nt
Filed under: uncultured bacterium
Lineage: Bacteria
Description: bacterial SSU rRNA
Rfam family: Bacterial small subunit ribosomal RNA
Source: RNAcentral
UGGGGAAUAUUGGACAAUGGGCGCAAGCCUGAUCCAGCCAUGCCGCGUGAGUGAUGAAGGCCCUAGGGUUGUAAAGCUCUUUCAGUGGGGACGAUAAUGACGGUACCCACAGAAGAAGCCCCGGCUAACUUCGUGCCAGCAGCCGCGGUAAUACGAAGGGGGCUAGCGUUGUUCGGAAUUACUGGGCGUAAAGCGCACGUAGGCGGACAUUUAAGUCAGGGGUGAAAUCCCGGGGCUCAACCCCGGAACUGCCUUUGAUACUGGGUGUCUUGAGUUCGGAAGAGGUGAGUGGAAUUGCGAGUGUAGAGGUGAAAUUCGUAGAUAUUCGCAGGAACACCAGUGGCGAAGGCGGCUCACUGGUCCGAUACUGACGCUGAGGUGCGAAAGCGUGGGGAGCAAACAGG